Molecule: ribosomal RNA, 450 nt
Filed under: uncultured soil bacterium
Lineage: Bacteria
Description: partial 16S ribosomal RNA
Source: RNAcentral
GAAUUCGAUUCGGUGUGACAAGGCCCGGGAACGUAUUCACCGCGGCGUGCUGAUCCGCGAUUACUAGCAAUUCCAACUUCAAGCAGGCGAGUUGCAGCCUGCUAUCCGAACUGAGACCGGCUUUCUCCGAUUAGCUCCACCUUGCGGUAUCGCGACGGUUUGUACCGGCCAUUGUAGCACGUGUGUAGCCCCAGACAUAAAGGCCAUGCUGACUUGACGUCAUCCCCACCUUCCUCCGGUUUAUCACCGGCGGUCUCUGCAGAGUGCCCAGCAUAACCUGAUGGCAACAGCAGACAAGGGUUGCGCUCGUUGCGGGACUUAACCCAACAUCUCACGACACGAGCUGACGACAGCCAUGCAGCACCUCUACGAGUGUCCUUGCGGAAGCUCCCUUUCGGGAGUGGUCACUCGCUGUUCAAGCCUGGGUAAGGUUCUUCGCGUUAAUCACUA